CCUACGGGAGGCAGCAGUGGGGAAUAUUGGACAAUGGGCGAAAGCCUGAUCCAGCAAUGCCGCGUGAGUGAUGAAGGCCUUCGGGUCGUAAAGCUCUUUUACCAGGGAUGAUAAUGACAGUACCUGGAGAAUAAGCUCCGGCUAACUCCGUGCCAGCAGCCGCGGUAAUACGGAGGGAGCUAGCGUUGUUCGGAAUUACUGGGCGUAAAGAGUACGUAGGCGGUUAUUCAAGUCAGAGGUGAAAGCCCGGGGCUCAACCCCGGAACUGCCUUUGAAACUAGAUAACUAGAGUCUUGGAGAGGUUAGUGGAAUUCCGAGUGUAGAGGUGAAAUUCGUAGAUAUUCGGAAGAACACCAGUGGCGAAGGCGACUAACUGGACAAGUACUGACGCUGAGGUACGAAAGCGUGGGGAGCAAACAGGAUUAGAUACCCUGGUAGUCCACGCCGUAAACGAUGAUAACUAGUUGUUCGGUCACUUGGUGACUGAGUGACGCAGCUAACGCAUUAAGUUAUCCGCCUGGGGAGUACGGUCGCAAGAUUAAAACUCAAAAGAUAGUAGGACGUGUAGACGUGCGACGACGACACGAGGGAGGUAGAG
This 598-nucleotide ribosomal RNA is filed under the name uncultured bacterium. Its description in RNAcentral is "bacterial SSU rRNA". It matches the Rfam family "Bacterial small subunit ribosomal RNA", at positions 338 to 1325 of the family's 1533-position model. The record is from RNAcentral.